AUGAAGGUAAAAUGAUGUGGGUGGUGGACGUGAUGAUGGUGGUGAUGCUGAUACUGAUGGUGUUGGUGGUGAAGCUUCAUGAAAGGGACGGUGAUGGUGAAGGUAUAAUGAUAUGGGUGGUGAUGGUGUUGGUGGUGAAGCUUCAUGAAAGGGACGGUGAUGGUGAAGGUAUAAUGAUGUGGGUGGUGAUGGUGUUGGUGGUGAAGCUUCAUGAAAGGGACGGUGAUGGUGAAGGUAUAAUGAUAUGGGUGGUGAUGGUGUUGGUGGUGAAGCUUCAUGAAAGGGAUGGUGGUGAUGAAGGUUUAUAAUGAUGUGGGUGGUGAUGGUGUUGGUGGUGAAGCUUCAUGAAAGGGACGGUGGUGAUGAAGGUUUAUAAUGAUAUGGGUGGUGAUGGUGUUGGUGGUGAAGCUUCAUGAAAGGGACGGUGGUGAUGAAGGUUUAUAAUGAUAUGGGUGGUGAUGGUGUUGGUGGUGAAACUUCAUGAAAGGGACGGUGAUGGUGAAGGUAUAAUGAUAUGGGUGGUGAUGGUGUUGGUGGUGAAGCUUCAUGAAAGGGAUGGUGGUGAUGAAGGUUUAUAAUGAUAUGGGUGGUGAUGGUGUUGGUGGUGAAGCUUCAUGAAAGGGACGGUGGUGAUGAAGGUUUAUAAUGAUGUGGGUGGUGAUGGUGUUGGUGGUGAAGCUUCAUGAAAGGGAUGGUGAUGAAGGUAUAAUGAUGAGGGUGGUGAUGGUGGUGGUCUUGGUGCUGGUGAGCCCAUCCUAAGAUUUAGGUUUUGCCGU
Long non-coding RNA from Eriocheir sinensis (Chinese mitten crab), 776 nucleotides. RefSeq lists it as uncharacterized. The transcript is spliced from 3 exons. The record is from RefSeq and is a predicted model, not a curated record. NCBI's taxonomy places the organism in Eukaryota, Metazoa, Arthropoda, Malacostraca, Decapoda, Varunidae.